GUUUGAUCCUGGCUCAGGACGAACGCUGGCGGCGUGCUUAACACAUGCAAGUCGAACGGUGAUCUUGGGGCUUGCCCCGGGUGAUCAGUGGCGAACGGGUGAGUAACACGUGAGUAACCUGCCCCUUACUCUGGGAUAACCCCGGGAAACCGGAGCUAAUACCGGAUACGACCUGCUCGGGCAUCCGAUGCGGGUGGAAAGAUUUAUCGGUUGGGGAUGGGCUCGCGGCCUAUCAGCUUGUUGGUGGGGUGAUGGCCUACCAAGGCGACGACGGGUAGCCGGCCUGAGAGGGCGACCGGCCACACUGGGACUGAGACACGGCCCAGACUCCUACGGGAGGCAGCAGUGGGGAAUAUUGGACAAUGGGGGAAACCCUGAUCCAGCAAUGCCGCGUGGGUGAAGAAGACCUGCGGGUUGUAAAGCCCUUUCGGUGAAGACAAAACGCGCCGUGCUAAUACCACGGUGUUUUGAUUUAACUCACUAAAGAAGCACCGGCUAACUCUGUGCCAGCAGCCGCGGUAA
Molecule: ribosomal RNA, 522 nt
Filed under: uncultured bacterium
Lineage: Bacteria
Description: bacterial SSU rRNA
Rfam family: Bacterial small subunit ribosomal RNA
Source: RNAcentral